This 933-nucleotide long non-coding RNA is filed under the name Helianthus annuus (common sunflower). RNAcentral's name for it is "hypothetical non coding rna". The record is from RNAcentral. Lineage: Eukaryota; Viridiplantae; Streptophyta; Magnoliopsida; Asterales; Asteraceae.
GGAGUAAAGUCCGGUCGUUAACCGGUUGCUGGCAAACCACACUCCUCCGUCGAGACACCAACAAUCCUCGACGAAAUCACAAAUCAACCCUUCUUCUCCGACGAGCAACACUCCCCAAACCCCCUGUUACAUUUUAACUGUCGCUCUACCUCCAUUUACCUCCAAUAAACAGCCGGCCACCACCGAAGGGUGGUGGCGUACGGCGGCGAGAUGAAACAGAUCAGAGAGACGGGGAGAAAGACGGGGAGAGAGAGAGAGAGAGAGAGAGGAAACCGAGAGAAAAUCAAAGAGAAGGACUGACAGGGCAGAAUUUCAGGCGACAAGAGUGACCAGUUGAUCUCCGGCGGUGGUGCUACGUUUUUCCGACAAGUUUUCUGGACGAUGAUGAGUUGAUAUUGGCGAUGUUGUUGAUGAAGGCUUCAGUGUUACGGCGGCGGUGGCGGCACGGUUAUUCCGACCGACGAAGCAAUACGACUCGGGUCAACACACGAGUAGUUCGGUUCAGUUAAGUCGGGUCCGGGUAAGAUGUUCGCAGAUUGUUUUAUUUGUGGUUAGUUAGGGUUCACAGUGGCUCGACUCAGUUCUCGGUUCAGAAUUGGUUCAACUCGGUUUGACUCGGCCAGACUUAGUCAACUCAAGCAACACGAGUCAAAAGCAGUCAAUACGGGUCAACUCAGUGGUUCGAGCCAACUUAGUUGAACGAGUCAGUCAACUUAGCGGGUCGACUCAGUCAACAGACGGUCAACGCAGUCAACAACAGUCAACAAAGAUCCUAUAAAGUUUUAAUGACGCGAGAUUUAGUUUAGAUCGAUAUAGUUUUGUUUAGACUUUUAGACUACGCGAAUCGAGCUCGACCGAUACCUCUAGUGUUUAUCUAUAUUUUAUUUUGUCGAAAAUUUAUUAUAUAUUGAUUGAAUCAAUUGAAAUAUUGUU